UUUAUACGGAGAGUUUGAUCCUGGCUCAGGACGAACGCUGGCGGCGUGCUU
This 51-nucleotide ribosomal RNA is filed under the name Halanaerobium congolense. RNAcentral's name for it is "16S rRNA. Bacterial SSU". Lineage: Bacteria; Bacillati; Bacillota; Clostridia; Halanaerobiales; Halanaerobiaceae. The record is from RNAcentral.